GUACUUGCUUCGGCAGCACAUCUACUAAAAUCGGAACAGUACAAAGAUUAGCAUGGCCCCUGCACAAAGAUGACACACAAAUUUGUGGAGCCUUUCAUAUUUUU
Molecule: small nuclear RNA, 104 nt
Organism: Hippopotamus amphibius kiboko
Lineage: Eukaryota; Metazoa; Chordata; Mammalia; Artiodactyla; Hippopotamidae
Source: RefSeq, a predicted model, not a curated record